This is a long non-coding RNA of Argentina anserina (silverweed cinquefoil), 1240 nucleotides long. RefSeq lists it as uncharacterized. The transcript has 4 exons. Lineage: Eukaryota; Viridiplantae; Streptophyta; Magnoliopsida; Rosales; Rosaceae. The record is from RefSeq and is a predicted model, not a curated record.
UCUCUCUCUCUCUCUCUCUCAUGAGAAUCCCUCAAGGACCCAACUCAGAUCUGACCAAAACUGCCAUCCUGUUUUAUCUCUACUCAUUAGAUUGAUGGAAAGAGCAACCAUCACGUCUACAUCAAAUUCCUAAACUUGGAAUGGGGAAACCACAACGCUUUUCAAUCCUACACAUGCCAAUAAUCUCAAGUGUUUGGUUUCAAUUCGAGGCAAAGGACGAUCAGAUGAAGGCUUCAAGGACCUAAUCAUAUUCGCCCAUUCACCAUCAAGGACGACAAGGGUUGUCACUCUUCAAGCCAAAGUCUCCACUUUCUUAUGUCAAUUCAAUGGAGAUGUUUGAUUGCAAAAUAUAAUGAAGGCUAUGAAAGGUUGUGCUUCUGUUCCGAAAUCUAUACUUCACUCGAUAAUUGAGCUUACUCUGAGCUUAGCAAUACAUCUAGUUGUAGAAGGCGCUCAUGCUUUUCUACCUUGAACCAAUUUUGAAGUGGGUCAAAGUCAUACACAACAUGUGGAGCAUGAUUACCCUGGUUAUUAUGUCAGGGGUGAGCUUUAUGUACUAUAAGUCUAUAAUUAAUGUCUUCUGGAAAUUUCUAACAGAGUUGGAAUUGUAUUAGAUUUUCUCAAAAACAAUGAAGGUUCGGCUGGUAUUCAUGGUAAUUGGUCAUGUGGUUGAAUAGUAUCAUACAUGUUCAAUUUCAUGAUGGAAUGGACUGAUAAGGUAUGUCAAUUUCGUCUUUACCAUUCUCUUUUUCUUUCACAUAAGACUGUUAAUAUCCAUUGUCAACAGCAUGCCCAUUCAGUAACAUUGUUAUGGUUGUUAACCAUUUCCAGCUUAACGAUUAUGUUGGUAGAAGACCUACAGUGCUAGAGACCAAGGGGCGAACUUAGAUUAUGACUUUUUUGGUAUUGUUUCAUACAGUUCCACGCUAUAUAAUCUAACAAACUAAUUAUAACUUAAGUGUUUUUCUUUUAGGUUGAGAGGCCAGAGAAAUUGAAAAUAACGACCGCAGAAGGUAAAAAUAUUUUGAACAUUUCGAAUGCAUGGACUACGUGAUUGCUUAUAAGGGAUAUGUAGGUGUUAUGGAAGCUUAGUUUAAAACUUUUCUAUUUGUAUCCAAACUUAGUGUGUAUACUUGAUCAAUUUGAAGUAUCAAUGUAUAUGUACAUUGUAUAUUUAAAUGUUAAGGCCAAUUCUUAUUGAGUUGUUGCUGCUAUACAUUCUUUAAUUUAUUGAAAUGUG